This 125-nucleotide small RNA is filed under the name Marmota monax (woodchuck). The record is from RNAcentral. Lineage: Eukaryota; Metazoa; Chordata; Mammalia; Rodentia; Sciuridae.
GCCAGGUGCAGUGGUGCACGCCUGUAAUCCCAGAGACUCAGGAGGCUGAGAUAGGAGGAUCGUGUGUUCAAAGCCAGCCUCAGCAAUGGUGAGGCACUAAGCAACUCAGUGAGACCCUGUCUCUA